Molecule: RNase P RNA, 388 nt
Filed under: Rhodospirillales bacterium
Lineage: Bacteria; Pseudomonadati; Pseudomonadota; Alphaproteobacteria; Rhodospirillales
Description: RNase P RNA component class A
Rfam family: Bacterial RNase P class A
About the family: Ribonuclease P (RNase P) is a ubiquitous endoribonuclease, found in archaea, bacteria and eukarya as well as chloroplasts and mitochondria.
Source: RNAcentral
CCAGACGGCUGGACGGUCGCUGGCGGUUCGCCGUCAGAGGAAAGUCCGGGCUCCACGGAAAAGCGGUGCCGGCUAACGGCCGGCGGGGGCGACCCCAGGGAUAGUGCCACAGAAAGCAAACCGCCCCGGCUUGCCGGGGUAAGGGUGAAAGGGUGCGGUAAGAGCGCACCGCCUUUCCGGUAACGGAAAGGGCAUGGAAAACCCCACCGGGAGCAAAACCGAAUAGGGGCGACCGGCGCACUGCGGCAACGCGGGGGUGCAAAGCAAUUUCCGGCUUGUCGCCCGGGUUGGUUGCUUGAGGCGGAUGGAAACGUCCGUCCCAGAGGAAUGGCCGUCCAGCACCCGUUUUGGGAGCGGACAGAACCCGGCUUAUAGGCCGUCUGGAUCA